Molecule: long non-coding RNA, 6441 nt
Organism: Pipra filicauda (Wire-tailed manakin)
Lineage: Eukaryota; Metazoa; Chordata; Aves; Passeriformes; Pipridae
Exons: 12
Source: RefSeq, a predicted model, not a curated record
GUCCUCCCUAUGAUUUAGUGGGCAUAUGAUAACUUUCAGUCAUUAAUCUGAUUUUAAACUGCCCACAGAGAGCAAAGGACAGCUGAAAAAAACCACUUUAUAUACACAGGUAACAGUGACACCCCUUCUGGAGUAACAAUCUCUUGCAUCCUUCUGGAAGUGGGAUUGUGGAUCACAGGAUGUGAGUGCAAGGGUAUUAAUAUGACUGUGAAAGAUGGCACUUCCAUGAUCAUUGGUGGAUUUAGUGGCUGCCAAAUUCAUAAACAUAUCAGGAUAAAAUACAGGUUAUACCUCUGAGUGAGAUUUAUCUCAGUCCAGGCAUAGCAUUAGAACUGAGCCUAAAUUCCAAACUGCCCCUCAGCAGUUCCUCAUGUUUUUAAUGCAUUGCCUUUACCUUCCCAGUUCUGUAGGGAAUAGCCUGGGAAUUAAAAUAUAUUCCCAAGUGAUGAACACAACUAUAAUUCCAGAACAAGUUUCUUUUGUGACUUUCCAAAAUGAGCAAGCUAAUUUUUUUUUGUAUGUUAGAAAAAAAAAAAAAAAGGAGUAGAAGAAGGAAAGGAGUAAAACCAAAUUGCUAUUUAGGUUUUUCUUGGAGAGGUGAUAUUAGGGAGCAGUUUGUAGGAAACUACAGCUUUCGGUUCUGGGCAAAUAAUCUGUGCUGAAGUAAAAGCUCUCACGUUCUUCCCAAGAUUUUUGAAGAUGAGCUUGUAGCUUUCUGAAUGUAAAUCAUUAAUAUUUAAGCAAUCUUGAUCCAAUUCAUUAGGACUCUUGCAUAUUUUUUUUUCAUAUUUUCACAGUGAAUGCCUUGAUUUUAGAUUUUUUUUUUCCCUGUUUAAGCUUUGCUUCUCUUUUUUACUCAUUUCUCUUUUUCAGUCCAUAAAUUAACGUUCAGCCUUUGGCAAGCUGCGUUUUUCAGCUGCUGCUCUCUUCUGUCAUACCUGUGACUAAACUUAGUCUUUGAUCAUGUUCCUUUGUGGCUGAUCUUUUCCACUCUGAAGGGAAAAUUAGGGCUAAAAAAAAAAAAAAAAGAGUAUUUCUAUCCUUAGAAUCCUUUUUCCCCUGUGAGAAUCCUUUGGAGAGUUUCAUUUUAAGGAAACAUCCCUGCAGGCCCUGGUUUUUUGUGUCCAGGUACCAAGAAGCAAUUUUGGAUAGAAGGAGAAACCGAAAACAACAGCACUGCAACAGAGGCUGCCACACGUUCCUGGUGUGCCAGAGGUCACCACGCUUCCAAGGGGGGUGGCAGCAACACCUCCCCUCUCAAAAAUUGAACUUCCCUUCUCCCUGUAAGAAAGGAUUGUGUCAAAACACCUCCAGUUACUUCCCAAAAUGUGAAAGGUGCAGGGAAGGUGUGGCUGUAGGUGGCCAACUUGUCUGUGGGGAUGGAGAGGCCUUUGGUGAGUUCAUCCUUCCCUCCAGGGCUGCAGGAAAGACUGGCUGCAGGGCUUUCCUUCCUGGGGAAUUGGAUUGCAAUAAUUUGGGAAGUGCAGGUCUCAAGAGCUGCCUGCACAGAGCAAAUUGGUAAUUAGAAGCAUGUGUUCUCCUGUAAGUGUUCCAGGGAGCUGUGUGGAGCAGAGGGAAAGGCAGGAUUAGCACAGUGUGACAGUUGUACAGAUGCAAACCUGGGGUGCCUUUAACCAUUUGAACCUCACUACAAACUUGGUUGAAAACUCUCUGUGUUCACAGGCUCUCUAGUUUGAUGAUUUUUCCCCUGCCAGCAUUUUAUGUGAAGAUGGCUCUUUUUGACCAGGCUGUUUCUGAAAAGUGACUUUUUAUAAAGGAAAACUAAAAUACUGGUAUUUUUUACUCCAGCUACAGGAAAGAAAUAUGGGAUGAUUUAGUUAAGUGUCACCUAACAGCAAUUAGCCUUAAACCCUUUCCCUUAGGAAAAGGACUUUGGGUUCUGAAUCUUAGUUUUCAGAUGCCUGUCAGCAUAGAGCCCACAGAACUGAACAAAAGAUUUCUGGGACAAUGUACAUGAAAUAAAAUUGCACUUUUCAUCUGCCAAGUCUUUCACUCUUGCUUUGUUUAAAAUUGCCACUUGCAGGGAGGUAGAAAAUCACUCUGUGAAGUGUUUCAGCAGAACAAGCUUGUGGUUAUGGCAGAGUAAUGGAAAUUUUUAUACUGAUUUCUUUUGUAAAGGGGUUUCUCUGAGUUUGAGGAAAUACCCCAUAAAACCUGUGGCUGAAAACAGAUGCCACCUCCUCUUGCAGUGGAGAUGUAACCUCUGCUUGAUGCUUUCCCUCAUGAAAAUAAUUAGCAUGUAAUGCUAAUAUUUUUAAUAUUCUUAUGCAAGGGGAGAAAGUCGUUCUGUGUGUGAUUCUCAGUAGGUCACUGAGGUAGGAUCAAUAAUCCAUUAGCAGGAAUCUCUUCCAUUUAACAUUUACCACUGACAAGUUCUUCUGUCCUUCCCAACCCAAAAGCAGUGCAGAGGAGUAGUCCAGGAGGUUAAAUUGUGGAGGCAGUUAAAAUAGCACCAAAAUAGUUUAAUAUAAAGGUGCUUAGCAGAAACCACAUCUAAAGCAACCUUGUUUUUAAUCCAAAAUGUCAUGUAAGCUGAGAGGCACAGUGAGGACACUUCUUCUGUAUAUACUCUGGUAUCAUGGCCAUGAUACAACAAAAUGGCUUUACAAGUGUUUAUUACACCUGAUUCCUCAGAGCAGUGUGAAAUGGGUCCUGCCUGGAGAAGAAUGAAAAAAAUAAUGCAGAAUUUUUAGCUGUGACUGGAAGGAUUUCCAGUUUUGUUGUUUUAAUAGGUUGGUGAAUCAGUGACCACAGAUUUUUACGUACUGUUGGUUUGGGAUUAUACUUUAUUAUCAUUUAGAACAGCAAUUCAGGGCCAAAUAUAUUUUUCCAUGUCCCACUACUUCUGUAGGCAAAGGAAAUCUUCCUAUGGAUACUACUGUUUGGCACAAUCUAAAAUAUGUUUAGUGGCUUUUGGUUUUUUUUCUAGACUGAGAAAUCAACUUUGAAAGCAAACCAACAAUAGAGGCAUUCAUGGUUUGCUUUUUAAAAGCCACACAUUGUCCUAUCUUAUUCAAAGCAGAAUUUUUUUUCUAAUAACCAAGUUCUCUGAGACUGUUUUUUAAAGUUGUGUAAUAAAAAUAGUUGUCAAAUCUAUUAUGACAGUCUAGACUAUGCACAGAAGGGAACUCUGGGGAAAGCAUGGAGAUUUUCUCAUGGAAACAGAUAAGGAAGGGGAAGAGUCAAAUGCUUCAUCUAUUUUAAAUAAGUUGUCUAAUCUAUAACCUUCCAGAACAGUUCAGUUGUGUUCUUGGGAGGGGGGGAGAUGGAUACAGUGGAUUGUUCUGGAAGAAAAUGUGCCAUUGUCAGCCCCACUGUGCUGGGGGAGUGAUAAGAGCCUGUAAAAGCCCUGUGUUGUUCCCUAAGUAGUCCAGAGGCAAAGCUUUUCCUCUCUCCUGGAGGGAUGCUUGUCCUGUAGGAGAUGGAUUAAUAGCUUGUCACAGGAACACAAACCAAGCCAUCCAGUUGGGCUGGAAUAAAAUGGGUUUAUGUUCUGAAAUCCUGAAUGGAGCAGCUUUUCCUGAUGGGGAACAAAGACACCUCCCAGGCUGAUGCUGUGGGGGGAAUCAGGGAACAGCAUUCCAAGAGGGGCCUGGAUUUGUUUGCAUCUUCCCAUCCUGAUCCUGCAUCUUCCUCUGCCUCCUGACACCAGCUGGAAUAAGGUGCAUGUGAGGCCAAAGCUGCCAAAUCAGGUGAGCAACUUCUGUUAAGAACUUUUCACUGUGCAGAGCAGUAAUUUCGGAGCCAGGGACCACUGCAGGGACAAACUGGGGCUCGAGGGUGCUGGGAAUUCGUUCCUGUGUGCUGGUAUUUGGGUCACAAGCUGAUGGAAGGGGAGAACACAACCCUGCAAGUUUGGGAAUGGGAGCUGAGAAAUGUUCCAGGAGUGGGAUCAUCCCUUGUGGCUGCUGGUAAUUAGGUAAAAUUUGCUGAUUAAUGAGGCCAGAGUUUCACACACGCUUCGAGCCAGCACUGAAAUCUCACCUGACAGAAGUGAUUAGUUUUAACCUGGAUAUGGAUCACUGUGGCUGUAGAAAACUUAUUUUCCAGUAGGGAUGGGUGUGUAAAUAGGACUAAGUGGAAAGGGGGGAGCAGUACAUGUUUAUAAUGUCUUAAACUGUAUAUUCCCAGAAUUUAAGAAUAUAAAGAAUUAAGGGGAAAAUAAGACAAUGAAAUGUAUCCUCUUGGCUUUGAAGCUUUUUAUCUUAUUCAAACUCUUCCUUUACCCAGACUCUUACUCAGAUCUUCUGCUGUACCUGCCUGUUUAGGUUGGGUGAGAACAUUCCCAGGCCAACAGCCCUCUGAUCAGGUGUAGUGAUGUUUGCUCUCCUUCCUUCACAUUUAUUGUAUGUCUGAAAUAUAAGGCAGUAUAACUCCCCUUGGAGGUAUACAGCUAAAAAGCCAAGUUACAUACAAAUAAAGUAACUUCAGGUGCACAGGGAAGUUUUCAAUUACAAAAAAAUCUAAAAAUCAGAAGUCAAAAUCCUUUCACUUCAAGGGAAGUAAUUUGUUUUUGUUUUUGUUUUUACAGUGCAUUUUCCAGUGUAUUCUACUUUGGGCAACACUAAAAACUCAUUAGUACAUGUAAAUAAUUAGCAGUCUGGACUGAUGGCUAAAGAUUAAACCAUAGGUCCAUAUUGCUGGUUUAUGUGGGAGGUGUAGAGCUGAUACAAACAGCAUCCAUGGAGGGCUGGGGUUUUUGCAUAGCUCUACUACAACUGUGACAGCACUGAGAAAGCCAGUAGGAAAUAGUUUUUGUGUGCAGAAUAUAAAAUGUGUCCCAGGGGAUGCGAGGGAAACAUGAUUAGCUGAAACUGUAAACCUUAAUACAAUAGAAACUAUGAAGGAGGUACAGGAUUUAGUAAUUUCCCCCAAUUUUUUAUCAUUAGUGACGCUGCUGGAACUGACAAAAAACCCACCAGUCUUGUCAGUAGAGUGGAAGUUGGCACUUGGAAUAUUUCUUGCUUUGAUAGGAGGAAGGAGGAGCAAGAGCAGUGGGAAAUGUCUUAAUUGUCCCCCCAGUGCCUGAGCCCUUUGUGAGAUGAAAGCUGCUUUCAUUGCCUUCCUGAGCAAACCAGCCCCUCAAUUACAGUCAAUGAGUCUGUUCCUCCUCUGGUUUGAGUUUUAGGAUGACAAGGAACUGAGGCUUUCCAACAUGUAACAGCAAAGCAAACAACUGUUUCAGGAAUUCGUAUGUUUACAGAAGAUGUUUUAACAACUUAAUCAAUCUGUGAUUGAUUCCUGGCAUUUCUCAUCAUCAUCUGUAGUCCCUUUUACCUAGUGAAGCAGGGUCCCAGGGUCCACUGAAACACCCACAGAAGGAUUUGUGGCACAUCUUGCUGAGACAAGAAAAGAAAUAACCACCAAUUCCUGACCUAGAUCAGUCAGCACACAGUUUAUUUUGCCUUGGGAGACAUCACGAAGGAGACCAGCAUGGAGACCAGCUGAGAUACUGCAGGAGUGUAUGAAGAGCCAAUUGGAAUGACUUUUAAUCCCUUCUCUCAUUUAGUCCUGAGGUUAAAAGGUGUUGUUCAUCCCAAGGGAGCCCUGAAGAGAAAGGAUGGUGGAGCCUUGGAUUGCAGGAAGUCUCGUGCUGUUCCCUAAACACUCUCAAAGUGUUCAUGAAAUGCAGCCUUUGCCACAGUGGAUCCCAAAGACCUUCCUGCAAAUUAUGUUCAAUUAAUUCCUGGGCUGGAGUUGUGCAGCUCCCGGGCACUGAGUGACACAUCCCAGGAGAAAGUGCUUUCCCCCGUCGGGGGACGGUCCCUGCAUUUCAAGCGAGAGCCGCCCGACCCACCCACGUCAUUUUGUGCUGAGAUCACUCCUGGUUCUGCCGGGCUGAGCUUUCCUUCCUCCUGAGCUGCUGGAACACAGGCAAUGCUGCAGUGUCUGCCCUGGCCCUGUGAGGAGCAUCUCAGGGCACAGUGCCUCCCAUCAGGCACCGUUCCCAACUUCUUCCUCAUCUAACCAACGGAUCCCUGAGCCCUGUUUCCUUAUUUCCCUUCUCUUCCCAGUCCAUUUUCCUUUCCCACCUUCUCCCACUGCUGUCCUGGCAUUGCCUUUGAUAUUGAUAUAGUUCUUCGCUGGAAAUGGAUUUCUUCUGGAAUUUCUUCUGGGAAUUGUGUUACACUCCAAGCAGGACACAGUGAAGAACGUUUUAGUGGAGUUAUUGAAGGUGAUGGACCUGACUCAUAAGGACUGAAACUUGGAUAAAAAAAACCCCCACAAUUCCCCUGGUGCCGGGGUCACUCUGCUCAAAAAGGAACAAUCAUGGAAUUUAUUUCUUGUAAAGCUCACACUGAACAGCAUUUUUGGAUGUAUUGCAUGUGAAGCCAACCCUGUGCCAGGAGUGUGUGUUUUGAAUUAUCUGCUCUCCUUAUUUGAAGAGAUCUGUCCCUGUACUCUGAUUGCUCCUUGGUG